Molecule: long non-coding RNA, 646 nt
Organism: Ostrea edulis (European flat oyster)
Lineage: Eukaryota; Metazoa; Mollusca; Bivalvia; Ostreida; Ostreidae
Exons: 2
Source: RefSeq, a predicted model, not a curated record
GCUUACCAGUAGAUCUAACUUUUACCUGAGAAGUUUCAACAGGACUUGAUUUUGCCGAUCAAACAAAAUGGAUGCUGACAUCUUAUACAAGAUUGAAACCAAGGAAGACAUAGAAAAUUCUGGUCAUUAUAAAAUACUGAUCUGUACCUGAAAUUUUCCAGAAAUAAAAAAAACUUUGCCAGAAUGACGGAAUAAAAACUUUUGGGUCGGUGCGACUUUCUCAGACUCGUUCGGGCAAGGGGAAACAAACAAUAUUUUUGUUUUAGCCCUCCUGACUUUUAACGUAGACUUAUCAAAGUACUACAUUAUGUAUUUAAUGACCAAAGUAAAGGUGCAGAUACAAAUUUAUAAAGUCAUAAGACAAUAUUUCUAUCUGCUUUCCUGACCUGUGUGUGUUGGGCGUAACAAGUUUUCUUCACUUGGAACUGCUUCUUCUUGGUAAAACCAAUACAGAACAUCCUCAGAAGGAAACCGUCUGUGGUCUUCACAUCAACAUGAGCCUGGAUCAGGGUCUGCCAUUUCUUCACCAUGGAGCACAGCUUAUCCCUAGUCAGGUCCAUACCAUGGAAGUUGGUCAGGACAUUACGACCUUGGACUUCCUCAGCCAUCAGUUUGAAUUUCCUGAAGGAGACUUCGUCAUUCUGAA